Molecule: long non-coding RNA, 243 nt
Organism: Photinus pyralis (common eastern firefly)
Lineage: Eukaryota; Metazoa; Arthropoda; Insecta; Coleoptera; Lampyridae
Exons: 2
Source: RefSeq, a predicted model, not a curated record
GGGAGGGGGAAAGACUAAGCAUUAGUAUAAAAGAAUGGACAUUCGACGAUAUUAUUAUCAAGUAGAGCAUUCGCAAUACUACAGCUUAAAAAUGAAAUUCGUGGGUUUGAUUCUUGUCGUAGCUAAGGCCGAGAAAUCUGGAGCCAAGUGCUGUACGGAAUAGUAGGCAGCAGGAACACAGUUUUUUGUCUAUAUAGAAUUUUAAUUACUGUAUAGAGUUGAAUAAAAUGUAGAUUACCUACA